RNAcentral lists this long non-coding RNA (531 nucleotides) under Panax ginseng (ginseng). Its description in RNAcentral is "long non-coding RNA (PGIN_LNC018691)". Lineage: Eukaryota; Viridiplantae; Streptophyta; Magnoliopsida; Apiales; Araliaceae. The record is from RNAcentral.
GUCGGACAAGGAAGGAGGGGAGACCAAGUGGGUGAGUCACUUCCCAUUAAUGGUAAAUUUUUAUCCAAAUGAAGCUAUCAUUUAAUUUCUUAUUCCCUCUAACCAAUUAAAUUAGCCAAACAUUAGCCAGUUUAUUUCUUUCAUCUUCAUUUCCUAAGACUAGUAAGAAAAGAGAAAAAAGAAAAGCAAGAGGGAGCUUGAAUUCGGCGAGAAGAAAACUUUGAUUUUGAUCAUCUAGCCAAGAUCAAGAAGAAGAUGAUUAAGAAAGGUAAGACCCCUAACUACUUCUUCCUAUUCAUUUUUUCUUUUAAAAACUUUCUAGUAUGUUAGGAAGUGUUUUGUUAAUUGAUGUGUUUUAAUGAAAUAUCAUGGUGAUAGAAAUAUCAAAGCCAAUCAAUGCCGGGAACAAAGCCAACUGACUCAGAAGAAACAAUUUUAGUUCCUUAAUUAGUGCAACAUAUAUGUUCAAAUAUUCUAUUCAUAUUUGUCUGUAAUCUUUUCUAGUUUAGAUGAUUCUGAGCAUCAUUGGUG